GCGCCUAUAGCUCAAUUGGAUAGAGCAGCGGAAUUCUAGUCCGUAGGUUGAGGGUUCAAAUCCUUCUGGGCGCGCCA
RNAcentral lists this transfer RNA (77 nucleotides) under plant metagenome. RNAcentral's name for it is "tRNA-Arg-TCT". It matches the Rfam family "tRNA". From Rfam's summary of the family: Transfer RNA (tRNA) molecules are approximately 80 nucleotides in length. Their secondary structure includes four short double-helical elements and three loops (D, anti-codon, and T loops). Further hydrogen bonds mediate the characteristic L-shaped molecular structure. tRNAs have two regions of fundamental functional importance: the anti-codon, which is responsible for specific mRNA codon recognition, and the 3' end, to which the tRNAs corresponding amino acid is attached (by aminoacyl-tRNA synthetases). tRNAs cope with the degeneracy of the genetic code in two manners: having more than one tRNA (with a specific anti-codon) for a particular amino acid; and 'wobble' base-pairing, i.e. permitting non-standard base-pairing at the 3rd anti-codon position. The record is from RNAcentral.